Long non-coding RNA from Pelmatolapia mariae (spotted tilapia), 2341 nucleotides. RefSeq lists it as uncharacterized. The transcript has 5 exons. The record is from RefSeq and is a predicted model, not a curated record. NCBI's taxonomy places the organism in Eukaryota, Metazoa, Chordata, Actinopteri, Cichliformes, Cichlidae.
AGGAUGAUGUGGAUGUGGCUGGUUAUAUAAAACUAUAGGGCACAGUUGGAAUGAGCCAGAUGGGAUGCUAGUUGUCAUUUUAAAGAGUAACGAGCUUGUUGUCGGCUUUGGGACAUGUCGCUACUGCAUGACCUUGUGAACUUGUCUGCUGCGUGACCUCAAAAAAUGGCUCCCCGAGCACCCCUUCACAUCCCUGGGUUUAUUUGCACAGGCAGUUGCUCAAGCAGGAAGUGACAUCAACGGGUCCAAAGUAAAAAUAUGUCGCAGGACGGGCUGUCUAGGAUGUCCAGGACCGGUGUUUGUAAGGGAGGAUGCCUCGCACCGGCUCCACAGAGAGUGAUGCUCACUGAGGGAUGCAGGAGAGCGCCACACAGGCGAGACAGACACCGGAGGCUGAGCUCUGUAUCAUGGCUGUCUGCUUAAAGGGAUGCUGUCUGCUAUCCAGUUAUGGCUGAGAUCCUCUUGUUCCUCUGCCUCAUCUAUAUCUAUCCCUGCAGCUCCUGCCCAUCUUCACCUUCCAUGACUUCUUCGUGAUGGCACCCUAAUCUCUGCCAGAGUGGUCUGAUGUAUGCAUUGCAAGGCGGCUGCAUGAUCAAGCCUGUGAACUCUACAUCUGAAGGAAGGAUUCUGUUUCUGAUCAUAUCCCUAUUGAAGUCCAUCCAUUUGCCGAACAUGGAGGUGUUGACACACUCGCGCUUGCACUCACUGCAGCCUGCACAGUGAUGCUCUAAAGCCAUUAGUGAGUCCUAGCACCGAUAAUGAAGCCACAGAGGUGGUCUGAGCCAGUAUGGCAUUGGCGCUGGAACACGGGAGGAGGGUAGAUUAGGAUAAUUACCUAGCCAUGGUGGAGCAAUGAAAAAAAAAAACUCUGACUUCCUGCAGGCCUUGAACAGCAAAGGAACACAGUUCAAUCAGGUGCGACACCAAUUGCUCAAAAAAGAAAGAAUAAAGCAAAUUGAAAAAUUAGUUCCAAGUAUUUUUAGUGAACAUCGUGUGUAUAUUAGAGUUUUUAAAAUUUUCAUUUUCUGUUUUUGCAGGUGUUCUCCUCAUCCCGCUCUUAUGUAUAUAUGUGUUUAUUUGUUGUUUGCAAGGCUGUGAUUUAGGUCUCUCACACAUACUGUAAGGACAUCCUAAAUAUCCACGCUCACAGAGACUUUGAAGAGCCUAUGAGGUCAGGUUUUAAAUUAUGGUCUGAACCCACACCAAGCUUUCUCCCUCCACUCCUGUAAAUCCAUUUUCCACACAAUGCAUUUCAAAUCAAAGCGGCGUCACCAUAACAUGCCUUAGGAAACAUUAAGCCAUAGUGCGUUACUUUCAUGUAUGAUAGCAUAGCCCCUGUAUGCUUUGAUGUGCUCACGUUUUUUUUUUUUAAUGCUUUAUUAAUAAUAACACAUUGGCUCCUUCUCACACCACCAUCAGCUUCUGAUGCACCUCUCUCUCCUCCUGAACAACAUCCCUCACUCUUUCCAUGCCUCAGCUGCGUCAUCCCUCCCUAGCCCCUGAGCCGUGUCUCAGGAUUGGCCCGUUUGUGUUUGGGAAGGAGAUUAGAAGGAAUGACAUGGGCCUUGAGAUGAAGAGAGUUACAAAGACCUAUCAGAGGGCAGAGAGUACAGAGAGCAGAAACACCAUUGGCUACUGAGGAAAUCAGACAUGUCUUCAUUUCUCCCAGCCAUCCUCGCUGAGUGUCAUUUCCUCACCCGAGGAGGGAAGCAUAGGGGGGUGGGUGAGGAUCAGGAUUUGAGUUUCUGUUUGUGAGUGUAAGUGUGCGUGGAAAUGUGUGUUUGCUUGUGUGUUGUGUGCAGUAAACAUAGAAAUACAGAGGGAUGAGCAUGUAGACACUGAUAGCACUCACCUCCUCCAAAGCUGGCCAAAAUACAAAGCAGCCUGCGCAUUCCUAGUGUUGUCCUAGCUGAACACUAUGAAUGGGAUGCCUGAUUCAUAGACAUGCAAGCUUAUCUCUUUAUAAACUGCUGCAGCUUCAUCACUGGAUGUUUUACAUCUGUGUUUUAAUGGCAAAAGUAUCCCAAAUCACACAACUGCUGUUUAGUAUUUGCUGAUAUUUUCCUUCUGGCAAAUUCAAUAUAAUGCCUGCAAUUUACUGGAUCACUUAGCAGUUUGUCACAAUAACAUGUGUACUCCUGCACACAAACAUCUGCUGAUUUAAUUUUCUUCUUUUGUGAUAUUGUUGUGUUUGUAUACCUCUUUGAUCAUUCUUCAAUCUUCCUGUUAUGUAGUAUGAUUGAAUCUUGUGUAUUUCAUUUUCUGAUUUUGAUUGAUCCUUUCUUCUCUACACUUUCUAGAGUACAUUUUUUCCCCAAGUCAUUCAUCUCUGUUUAUAUUC